This 69-nucleotide transfer RNA is filed under the name Santamartamys rufodorsalis (red crested soft-furred spiny-rat). Its description in RNAcentral is "tRNA-Ala". It matches the Rfam family "tRNA". Rfam says of the family: Transfer RNA (tRNA) molecules are approximately 80 nucleotides in length. Their secondary structure includes four short double-helical elements and three loops (D, anti-codon, and T loops). Further hydrogen bonds mediate the characteristic L-shaped molecular structure. tRNAs have two regions of fundamental functional importance: the anti-codon, which is responsible for specific mRNA codon recognition, and the 3' end, to which the tRNAs corresponding amino acid is attached (by aminoacyl-tRNA synthetases). tRNAs cope with the degeneracy of the genetic code in two manners: having more than one tRNA (with a specific anti-codon) for a particular amino acid; and 'wobble' base-pairing, i.e. permitting non-standard base-pairing at the 3rd anti-codon position. The record is from RNAcentral. Lineage: Eukaryota; Metazoa; Chordata; Mammalia; Rodentia; Echimyidae.
GAGGACUUAGCUUAAUUAAAGUGUUUGUUUUGCAUACAUAUGAUGCAGGUCUUAGGUCUGCAGUCCUUA